RNAcentral lists this non-coding RNA (252 nucleotides) under Trichinella murrelli. RNAcentral's name for it is "Picornavirus internal ribosome entry site (IRES)". It matches the Rfam family "Picornavirus internal ribosome entry site (IRES)". From Rfam's summary of the family: IRES elements allow cap and end-independent translation of mRNA in the host cell. Lineage: Eukaryota; Metazoa; Nematoda; Enoplea; Trichinellida; Trichinellidae. The record is from Rfam by way of RNAcentral. RNAcentral also lists the same sequence under 1 other name.
AUGGGACGCUCUAAUUCUGACAUGGUGUGAAGAGCCUAUUGAGCUAGCUGGUAGUCCUCCGGCCCCUGAAUGCGGCUAAUCCUAACUGCGGAGCACAUGCUCACGAACCAGUGGGUGGUGUGUCGUAACGGGCAACUCUGCAGCGGAACCGACUACUUUGGGUGUCCGUGUUUCCUUUUAUUCUUAUAUUGGCUGCUUAUGGUGACAAUCAAAGAGUUGUUACCAUAUAGCUAUUGGAUUGGCCAUCCGGUG